This 1218-nucleotide ribosomal RNA is filed under the name Triticum aestivum (bread wheat). RNAcentral describes it as "partial small subunit ribosomal RNA". The record is from RNAcentral. Lineage: Eukaryota; Viridiplantae; Streptophyta; Magnoliopsida; Poales; Poaceae.
AUGAGGAGUGGCGGCCCUCUCGUUGGUUUGUUGGUGGCGCUCGUGGUCGUCGGCGGCGGGGCGGCGGCUGGGGCGCCCGGCAGGUGCACGACGUCGACGCCGGUGAAGGCGUACGCCAAGUGCAUCGCGCUGCCGACGCAGGGCGCGACGCUGGCGUGGACGUACGACGCGCGCAACGCCACGCUGGACGCGGCCUUCACGGGGUCCUUCAUCUCGCCGUCGGGCUGGGUGGCGUGGGGCGUCAACCAGGACGCGCCGGCCAUGGCCGGGGCGCGCGUCAUCGCCGCCUUCUCCGACCCGUCCACGGGCGCGCUGCUCGCGCUCCCCUUCGUGCUCUCCGCCGACGUCAAGCUCCAGGCCAAGCCCCUGGUGUCCCGCCCGCUCGACAUCCCGCUGCUCGCCUCCUCGGCGUCCCUCAUCGCGCCGGCCCGCACCGUCCGCGACGGCGCGUCGGUGACCAUCGCCGCCACCAUCCGCCUCUCCCCGAACCGCACCAGGGUCCACUUCGUGUGGAACCGGGGCCUGUACGUGCAGGGCUACUCCCCGACCAUCCACCCCACGGACGCCUCCGACCUGGCGUCGCACGCCACCGUCGACAUCCUCACCACGGCCACGGAGUCCUCCCCGAUCGCGUCCGCCAGGCUGCAGUGGGCGCACGGCUCCCUCAACGCGCUCUCCUGGGGCCUCCUGCUCCCGGUCGGCGCAGCCCUGGCGCGGUACCUCCGGCCCUGCGCCUCCGCCGGCCCAGCGUGGUUCUACGGGCACGCGGCGGUGCAGGCGACGGGGUACGCGCUGGGGGCGGCCGGGUUCGCGCUGGGGAUCGCGAUGGGGGCGGCGUCGCCCGGGGUGACGUACAAGCUGCACCGCGGGCUGGGCAUCGCGGCGGCGACGGCGGGGAGCCUGCAGACGCUGGCGGUGUUCUUCCGGCCCAAGACGACCAACCGGUACCGCAAGUACUGGAAGUCGUACCACCACCUGGUGGGGUACGGGUGCGUGGUGGUCGGGGUGGUGAACGUCUUCCAGGGCUUUGAGGUCAUGGGGCUCGGCGCCUCCUACUGGAAGCUCGGCUACUGCAUGGCGCUGGCGACGCUCGUCGGCGGCUGCGUGGCGCUGGAGGUGAACGCCUGGGUGGUGUUCUGCCGGCGGCAACACGAGGAGAAGCUCAUGCGGCGGGAGGUCGAGGACGUCGUCGUCAAGGACAGGGCCGCCGCAUUCUAG